This 685-nucleotide ribosomal RNA is filed under the name uncultured bacterium. RNAcentral's name for it is "bacterial SSU rRNA". It matches the Rfam family "Bacterial small subunit ribosomal RNA", at positions 239 to 916 of the family's 1533-position model. The record is from RNAcentral.
GAUUAGCUAGUUGGUAAGGUAAUGGCUUACCAAGGCAACGAUCCGUAACCGGCCUGAGAGGGCGGUCGGUCACACUGACACUGACAUACGGGUCAGACUCCUACGGGAGGCAGCAGUCGGGAAUUUUGGGCAAUGGGCGAAAGCCCGACCCAGCAACGCCGCGUGAAGGAUGAAAUCCCUCGGGCUGUAAACUUCGCAAGAAUGAGAAGAAUAAGUAGGGGACAAUACCCCCUAUGAUGACGGUAUCAUUUGUAAGCUCCGGCUAACUCCGUGCCAGCAGCCGCGGUAAUACGGGGGGAGCAAGCGUUGUUCGGAUUUACUGGGCGUAAAGGGCGCGUAGGCGGCCAGCACAAGUCAGUUGUGAAAUCUCCGAGCUUAACUCGGAAAGGUCAACUGAUACUGUGCGGCUAGAGUGCAGAAGGGGCAACUGGAAUUCUUGGUGUAGCGGUGAAAUGCGUAGAUAUCAAGAGGAACACCUGCGGCGAAGGCGGGUUGCUGGGCUGACACUGACGCUGAGGCGCGAAAGCCAGGGGAGCGAACGGGAUUAGAUACCCCGGUAGUCCUGGCCUUAAACGAUGAAUGCUUGGUGUCUGGGGUUAUAAAGUCCCCGGGUGCCGUCGCUAACGCUUUAAGCAUUCCGCCUGGGGAGUACGGUCGCAAGACUGAAACUCAAAGGAAUUGACGG